This is a non-coding RNA of Callithrix jacchus (white-tufted-ear marmoset), 4283 nucleotides long. NCBI's taxonomy places the organism in Eukaryota, Metazoa, Chordata, Mammalia, Primates, Cebidae. The record is from RefSeq and is a predicted model, not a curated record.
UACUAGAAAACAAAAAGAACUCAAAAAUGCUGAAAGCAAAUCUGUACUCUCUGUAUGGAAUGUAUUAGUGUAAAAUUUUAGGGUUUAUGGUACCUGGUACUCAGGCUAGGCCCAUAAUUUUAUUGUGUGUUUUACAUAUUUUUUGUUGUGUAGUUUAUGGAGUAUUCAUUAUGGGAGCUGGUCAGGGAUUAUAAUAAUUUUUAUAAAAUUGAAUCAUGCACACAAAAUAAUUUUUAGAUAUAAUUCCAAAAUUAGGGUAUUAGUUUGCAUAUUUAGUUAGAACAUUGCAUUUUAUUUUAUUCGUUGGAGAACCUUAUAUAAGCCUACUUUUUUUUGUUACUGUUUCUUUCACUUUUUAUUAGCGGCAAGUAAAUCUAUUGAUCCGAUUUGCUGAGGUAAGCACUAGGGAGACGUCAUAAGUCAUGAGGAUGUAAAUCUAUAAAUGUAGCACACAAAUAUGAAAGCACUUCCUGUGUCACAGAUGAUCCAUCAUAAGCCAUAAAUAUUCCUGCCGGAGUUAGUUUCUAACUUCAAAUCAGAGCUAAAAAUAUCACUGGUGAAGAAAUAACAUUGAUUUUUCAUGUGGAGCGGGCAUUUUUGUCUAGGCUGCCAAGCUGACUCUUCCUGAAUUUAAAGAGAACUUUGGCUUUUGUUUUCUAAUUAUCCUGUUUUGUUUGGCUUAGUAUAUGUCUUAUCAUAGAGGUUAUAUUAUAUACAUUACAGCUUCCUUCUUUUACUGUGUUAUGGCAACAGUUUUCUCCCUGGUGUCUUUAUGCCAUGGCAUUUCACAUGGUACUUUAUAGGUUUUAAUGAGAAAAAUUUUAUUUUUUAAUGAACUGAAAAAAGUUGUUUUAACUAGAGAAUUCGCUUAUUAUAACUUUCAGAUUGAUAAAUAAGAAGCAUACAUUUUUCAUGGGUGAGAGAACCCAUCACUUAACAUUGUUUCUUUGUAAAAGAAAAAAAUUUUUUUUUGUGAUGGAGCCUCGCUCUUGUCACCCAGGCUGGCAUGCAAUGACGUGAUCUUGGCUCACUGCAACUUCCACCUCCUGCGUUACCUCAGCCUCCUGUGCAGCUGGAUACAGGAACCUGCCACCAUGCUCAGUUAAUUUCAGUAUUUUUAGUAGAGAUGAGGUUUCAUCAUGUUGGCCAGGCUGGUCUUGCUGACCUCAGGUGAUAUGCCCUCCUCAGCCUCCCAAAGUGUUGAGAUUACAGAUGGAGUUUUCGCUCUUGUGCAGGCUGGAGUGCAAUGGCACAACCUCGGGUCACCGCAACCCCUGCCUCCUGGGUUCAAGUGAUUCUUCUGCCUCAGCCUCCUGAGUAGCUGGGAUUAUAGGCACGUGCCACCACGACUGGUUAAUUUUGUAUUUUUAGUAGAGACGAGGUUUCUCCAUGUUGGUCAGGCUGGUCUCCAGCUCCCGAGCUCAGGUGAUCCACCCACCUUGACCUCCCGAAGUGCUGAGAUUACAGGCGUGAGCCACUGCUCCCAGCCAAAAAGCUGGAGUGCAAUGGCCUGAUCUCAGCUCACUGCAACCUCCGCUUCCUGGGUUCAAGCGAUUCUCCUGCCUCAGUCUCCUGAGUAGCUGGGAUUACAGGCUGGAAUGUAAUGGUGUGAUCUCGGCUCUCUGCAACCUCUGCCUUCUGGGUUCAAGUGAUUCUUCUGCCUUGGCCUCCUGAGUCGUUGGGAUUACAGGUAUGCACCACCACACCUGACUAAUUUUUUAUAUUUUUAGUAGAUACAGGGUUUCUCCAUGUUGGUUAGACUGAUCUCGAACUCCUGACGUCAGGUGAUCCACCCGCCUCAGCCUUGCAAAGUGCUGGAAUUACAGGUGUAAGCCCCCGCACCCGGCCCUAGAUAUUCUAUUGGCCUUGGAGAUUUUGGUAUGUAAAACUUUUACCGAUCAAUAUAUGUAGAUCAACUUUCUUAAUUUUUAUUGUAAUAUGAGCUUGAUUUUUUUGUUGAUAUUUUAUUUUAUACUUAAAAAGGUAUUGAUUAAUGGCUUAGACAACUUCUCUUACAACUUCUAGAGAUAAGGCUUCCUAAAGAUACAAGUUUGUCUUCGGGUAUUUAACAUUGGGAUAUUUUGAAAGCUUUCUAAUUAAAAGAAUUGAAUUCAGGCCAGGCACAGUGGCUCACUCCUGUAAUCCUAGCAUUUUGGGAGGCUGAGGGGGUUGGAUAACUUGACGUCAGGAGUUCAAGACCAGCCUGGCCAAAAUAGUGAAUCCCCAUCUCUACUAAAAAUAUAAAAAUUAGCCAGGCAUGGUGGUUCACACCUGUAGUCCCAGCUACUCAGGGCGCUGAGGAGAAUUGCUUGAAUCCAGGAAGCAGAGGUUGCAGUGAGCCAAGAUCGUGCCACUGCACUCAAGCCUGGGUGACAGAAAAAUCAAUUCAAGCUCAGCUACCUGAAGCCUCCCCCUCCUGUGUUCCAAUGAUUCUCCUGCCUCAGCCUCCCAAGUAGCUGGGAUUACAGGUGCCGGUUGCCAUGCCUGGCUAAUUUUUGUAUUUUUAGUAGAAAUGGGGUUUCACCAUGUUGACCAGGCUUGUCUCAAACUCCUGACCUCAGGUGAUCUGCCCACCUUGGCUUCCAAAGUGCUGGGAUUACAGGCAUGAGCCACCAUGCCUCGUAGGGUCCAGCCCUACUAGGGUCAUGGGGUGCCCCCAUCUCUGUGUUUUGGCGCUGGAUCCAAGGUGGGGAAGGGUCAUGAGUGAGGUCAUCUUAAGGGUAGUGAUAGGGUCAAGACAAUUAUGUGAGCAAUAAGGGGUCCACCCCCAUUAGGUCACCGAGUCAAAGAGGUGGGCAGUACAAGGCCCCCCUCCAAUUAGGUUACCGAGGCAAGGAGGGUGCAGUGUGCAACAUCUCUGAUCUAGGGGUAGGCAACUUCUAAGACUUUCUAUGGAAGGAGUUUCAAGUCAGCAGAGUAGCAAGAGAGCUGACAGGAUUUACAGCCACCUACGUGUGAUUAUACCAGAGGGGUUUUAAGUCCUUGGAUGUUCGCGGGAUUGGGGGCCAGAGGCCAGCUUUCCAUAAGAACUGGACACGAUGCAACUCCCUUACAGGAGUGACUCUUGCUCCAGGCCUGCUGUACAGCGGGUAUCUUUAUAAUACUGAACGCUGCCGCCUGGGCCGGACUGCCGUGUAGCACAUGCCCUUUCAGGCAGGGGCACUACCACCCAGGCCACUGAUUUUUGUCCUGGUAUGGCUGUUUUUCCCUAGUUCAUGCUCUGCACCGUGUCUGCUCUUGACACUCCUCCAACUAUGAACUAAGAUAUGAUUAUAUAAAAGGAAAGAAAUGAGCAGUAUGUUAUUCUUCAGGCACUAGUUGUGCUCGGGGGCUACUUAGCUCUCCUUCCUCGGUGCCCAGAAGGGGGGUUACCCACAAUGCCCUGCUGGGAGUUUUUAUCUUGAUAAAGGACUACAUGUGCUCUCUAAAAUGCAUUUCCUUAUACAUUAUUGGAUGUGUUCUGCAGCUGUAAGCAAAGAUGUAGUGUGCAGCCCUUGAUUAUUUUACUGCUGUCUGCUGAGCCCGUGGCAGUCCACCUCUGCAUGUGGCUCUCUCCCUGCACCAUGACACCACAUCCCACCUCCAGGCCUGGGGACAUAACUAAAGGCAGACCCAGGAGCCGGGCCUAAGCCCCCCCCCCCACUACUGCUGCUGCUUGAGCUGCUGGCCUCAGGAGUGCAGGAAACUUGGGGGACCCCAGGGCACUGAGAACAGCCACUCCGGCAUACUCAACGCCUUCUUCUGGAGCAUCCAUAAUCCCCUCCUGUUUUGAGGAGAUAAUGGCGGAAGGGCUUGACUCUGCUGACCGAGGUUUGUGUUUAGUGAAUGUUUCUACAGACACUGUGGAGUGUGUCACAGCUCUUGUAUGUUCUUGGACUUGGCAUUUCCAACCUGUCCCAGCAUUUCAACCCAGCCUCAGUGGCCAGCAGCCCAGCCCAUGCCCUUCUGUUGGCUGGUGCCCUCUUCUCUGCCAGCUGGCUCUUGUCUCCAGCCCUGGGCUUAACCUUCAAAGCACUGCACUGUGUUCAGGACCUCUUUUGGAUCAUGUGGACCAUUCUGUUCCCCGUGUCCUGCAAACAAAAGGGUGGGGAAUGAGGUGCAGUGGCGUCCACGUUAUGACCUGGCCCAGGGGCUUCUACAGGCAUGUCAGCUCCAGUGUGGAUGAGAAGCUGGAGCACCCGAGAGCCAGGUCAAACUGCUCCACACCUGCCUCCACAUGGGGCUAACAAUCCUCCAGUGCUCCAAAGGCAAGGCCAGCCAGCAGUGUCAUUAUUUACCAGGAC